CGCAUCUGUGCAUGCAGCAUAUCAAUAAGCGGAGGAAAAGAAACUAACAAGGAUUCCCCUAGUAACGGCGAGUGAAGCGGGAAGAGCUCAAAUUUGAAAUCUUAAAGGGUUUCCCUUUACGAAUUGUAGUUUAAAGAAGUGUUUUCUGUUGAGGUUUUGGUAAAAGUUCUUUGGAAUAGGACAUCAUAGAGGGUGAGAAUCCCGUAUUUGACCUUUACUUUCAACUUUGUGAUACACUUUCAAAGAGUCGGAUUGUUUGGGAAUGCAGUCCAAAAUGGGUGGUAAAUUUCAUCUAAAGCUAAAUAUUGGCGAGAGACCGAUAGCGAACAAGUACCGUGAGGGAAAGAUGAAAAGAACUUUGAAAAGAGAGUUAAACAGUACGUGAAAUUGUCAAAAGGGAAGCGUUUGACACCAGUGUUGUUUUUCUGAAAAUCAAUUAAAGAACUGUUUAUGCUAAGCUGUUUAGACUUUAUCAGCUAAUCUGUUUAGUUUUGAGCUUUCCUUUAAUGCACUUUUCAGUUAACAAGUCAACAUCAAUUUCUUUUGCUGUAAAAAAGCUUGAGGAAGGUGGCUUGAGAUUCGUCUUAAGUGUUUAUAGCCUCUUGCCUAUGCAGUCGGAGAGAUUGAGGUCUGCAGCGUAGAUCCUUCGGGGCUAAAUGCAUUUGUGCUAAGUUAUAGCAUUUUAUAGACAACUUGUUGACUAUGAUUUGUCUUGUAGCUUACUCGCUUAUGUUAUUUUACCUACGCUUAGGAUGUUGAGUCGUAGAGCACGCAG
RNAcentral lists this ribosomal RNA (775 nucleotides) under uncultured Neocallimastigales. RNAcentral's name for it is "partial large subunit ribosomal RNA". It matches the Rfam family "Eukaryotic large subunit ribosomal RNA", at positions 26 to 628 of the family's 3401-position model. The record is from RNAcentral. Lineage: Eukaryota; Fungi; Neocallimastigomycota; Neocallimastigomycetes; Neocallimastigales.